GGAGAGGUGCCCGUAGUGGCCUAUCGGGGUCCGGGUGUCCAACUCGGUCGGGCUUCGGCCCACGCAGGUUCGAAUCCUGCCCUCUCCG
RNAcentral lists this transfer RNA (88 nucleotides) under Streptomyces tendae. RNAcentral describes it as "tRNA-Gly". It matches the Rfam family "tRNA". From Rfam's summary of the family: Transfer RNA (tRNA) molecules are approximately 80 nucleotides in length. Their secondary structure includes four short double-helical elements and three loops (D, anti-codon, and T loops). The record is from RNAcentral. RNAcentral also lists the same sequence under 5 other names. Lineage: Bacteria; Bacillati; Actinomycetota; Actinomycetes; Kitasatosporales; Streptomycetaceae.